Molecule: ribosomal RNA, 256 nt
Filed under: uncultured bacterium
Lineage: Bacteria
Description: partial 16S ribosomal RNA
Rfam family: Bacterial small subunit ribosomal RNA
Source: RNAcentral
UAAGACGUAGGGGGCGAGCGUUGUCCGGAAUUACUGGGCGUAAAGAGCACGUAGGCGGAUAUUUAAGUCUGAUGUGAAAGACCGGGGCUCAACCCCGGGGUUGCAUAAGAAACUGGAUAUCUUGAGGGCAGGAGAGGACAGUAGAAUUCCUGGUGUAGCGGUGAAAUGCGUAGAAAUCAGGAGGAAUACCGGUGGCGAAGGCGACUGUCUGGACUGACCCUGACGCUGAGGUGCGAAAGCGUGGGUAGCAAACAGG